This 407-nucleotide ribosomal RNA is filed under the name uncultured bacterium. Its description in RNAcentral is "partial 16S ribosomal RNA". It matches the Rfam family "Bacterial small subunit ribosomal RNA", at positions 30 to 526 of the family's 1533-position model. The record is from RNAcentral.
AUUGAACGCUGGCGGCAGGCCUAACACAUGCAAGUCGAGCGGAGCGGCGGACGGGCGAGUAAUUCCUAGGAAUCUGCCUGGUAGUGGUGGAUAACGUCCGGAAACGGGCGCUAAUACCGCAUACUAUAAGUUGAGCCUAGGUCGGAUUUGCUAGUUGGUGGGGUAAAGGCUAACCAAGGCGACGAUCCGUAACUGGUCUGAAGGGAGGAUCAGUCACACUGGAACUGAAAUACGGUCCAGACGCCUACGGGAGGCAGGAGUGGAGAAUAUUGGACAAGUGGAGAAAGCCUGAUCUGGCCAUGCCGCGUGUGUGAAGAAGGUAUUCGGAUUGUAAAGCAAUUUAAGUUGGGAGGCGUUACCAAAAGAAUAAGCACCGGCUAACUUCGUGCCAGCAGCCGCGGUAAUUC